This is a long non-coding RNA of Oxyura jamaicensis (ruddy duck), 244 nucleotides long. RefSeq lists it as uncharacterized. The transcript is spliced from 3 exons. Lineage: Eukaryota; Metazoa; Chordata; Aves; Anseriformes; Anatidae. The record is from RefSeq and is a predicted model, not a curated record.
UCCAACUGGGGUUUCUCUUCCUCCACCUGGAAGGACAAAUGAUGUAGGCCUCAGAGCCAAGACCGCAACUGGGUUCUCAUCAAGUGCAACAGCAGCUUUGCCAAACAGCAUUCGGAGCGAGGUAGGGUCAGAUCUGCUUUUCACAACCCCACAGCUCUACUGGUAGCCAUAGGCAAGUCACUAGAGAGCAAGGCAUUGAGUCCAAAAAGAGCAUCGUGUGUGAAUAUACAAAUUCAACUUACAA